This 319-nucleotide ribosomal RNA is filed under the name uncultured eukaryote. Its description in RNAcentral is "partial 18S ribosomal RNA". It matches the Rfam family "Eukaryotic small subunit ribosomal RNA", at positions 1470 to 1796 of the family's 1831-position model. The record is from RNAcentral.
CCCUUAGAUGUUCUGGGCCGCACGCGCGCUACAAUGGUCUUCGCAAACGGAUGCAUUCUCGAAGGAGAAUGCCAAUCUUGGAAUCUAUGCCUUGGUCGGGACAGUUGCUUGCAAUUUUUCGACUCGAACCAGGAAUUCCUUGUAAUCGUGAUUCAUCACAUCACGAUGAAUACGUCCCUGCCCUUUGUACACACCGCCCGUCGCUCCUACCGAUCGAAGAGCUAGGUGAAUUGUUUUGAUCGAUAAGAUUUGACUAUGGUCAACUCUCGUUGUGAAAUUCUGUGAAUCUGACUGUUUAGAGGAAGGAAAAGUCGUAACA